This 360-nucleotide ribosomal RNA is filed under the name uncultured bacterium. RNAcentral describes it as "bacterial SSU rRNA". It matches the Rfam family "Bacterial small subunit ribosomal RNA", at positions 28 to 384 of the family's 1533-position model. The record is from RNAcentral.
GAUGAACGCUAGCGGCAGGCCUAAUACAUGCAAGUCGAGGGGCAGCGCGGUAGCAAUACUGGCGGCGACCGGCGCACGGGUGCGUAACACGUAUGCAACCUACCUUCAACUGGAGGAUAGCCCGGGGAAACUCGGAUUAAUACUCCAUAACACAGGGAUCCCGCAUGGGAAUAUUGUUAAAGCUACGGCGGUUGAAGAUGGGCAUGCGUUCGAUUAGCUAGUUGGUGUAGGUAAACGGCUCACCAAGGCUACGAUCGAUAGGGGGUCUGAGAGGAUGAUCCCCCACACUGGUACUGAGAUACGGACCAGACUCCUACGGGAGGCAGGCAGUAGGGAAUAUUGGUCAAUGGGCGCAAGCCU